AAAAUUUUGCAGUCUCAGUUUUCACUCUUGGCUUAUAAAUUAUUUGAUGCCUUACAUUUCAGAGACUUUCCAGGGAUCAGCAGCUCAAACUAUCCUUCUUGCUAUGCUCCCUCCUGAACUCUCCUCUCAUACCCCCCAGACACAUCCUCACCCCAGCCUUCUCCGCUCUGGGUUAGGACCACUCACUCAAUCCACUUAACUUCACUCAACUUUCUAUCCUCUAUGAAUUUCUCUUCUGCUGUUAGUGUGUGUCUAGUUAUCUAGUGGCUAUAUAUCUUUUUUUUUUACUUUAUUCUGACUUUAGAAGAUUUUGUGGGUUAAGUAGGAUUUAAAUAUUUAUGCUUGUGGCCAUCUUUACCCAAACUCCCCAGUAUGAGUAUUUUACUGUGAAGCACAAACAGAAUAUGCUGUUUCUUAUUUUUGAGAAUCUAUGAUUCUGAGCCCUAUGUUCUGAAUCAAUUACAUACAAAUAGUACUAAAUUGUUUUUAAAUUCUAUGUGCAUUGCAGUAAUGCAGAGAAGUAUAUGGUGACUUUACAGAUUUUUCAGUUGCAUGACUAUUGGUGAGCAGGAUGCUAAUGAGUUAUUCUUCAUCUCCAUAGAGACAAGGACAAUGAAAAUUUAGUAUAACUACAUUAAAAGUUUUGUUAGACAUUAGUGAUUCUUAAUUAUUAAACUAUAAAGUAAAAUUUCUCUUUAGCCUAUGUUUGUAAAGACAAAGCUCCCUGAGUGAUUUAGCCCAAGGCUUCAUCAUACAUGUGGACCUCUGGGUCUUAGAGAGGUCUGUAAAUUCAAACUGUAUCCAGAAUUAAAAUAAUUAUGUAUCCAUUUAUUUGGUCAAUGGCACAGGUAGAAUCAAUUAAAAUUAUUUCAAAUUCAGUGGCUCUAUUUUUCUUUCAUUUGCCAACAGAAUCUUCUGGAAUGGCAAAGAGAAAGUUUGUCAUCUACAUCUCUUAUUAAUGAAAGGACAAUUAACAAAUACCCAUAUUUUUCCUUUUGCUGAAUUAAGCAAACCAAUGAUGAGAGAUUUUGCUAAUUAUUUUAGUAUCUUUGCUAUCUUAUAAUUGUUAUUGCUUUUGUUUGGAAAAAAAAAAUACAUGUUUCUUUUGAGGGAAGAAUAUUGGCCUGAGAGAUUGACGGCCUUUUGUCUGCUAUAGUUUUUUCACCAACUGAUGUAUUUAGUGUCUGAUGUGUGAUCACAGAUAACUGUAGGGCUAGAUGAUCUUUAAAUCUCCCUUCUUUCUGGUCUCCCUCCCUUUCUGUGUUUUUGCUUUUCUUUUCUUUGAUAUUAAGAUAUGACUCUUGCUGUCAACUGGCUCAUGUUCCAGGGGCGAAAAUGUUGGUGCACAUCAUUGACAAAUAUAUAAAUAAAUAAUAUCAUAUGACUACUAUAAAAAAGUAUGUAGAAAAUUAUGGGGUGAUUAUGGACUAUUUUUAAACAGUCUUAUUUCUUAUCCAGUAGGCAGUUACCACUUCCAAUUAUGAAAAUGUAAUUAAAAUAGUGUCUCAUAUAACUGAGAUCUUUCACAUAUGGCUGUCUUUAGACCCCAUGUUUUACAAAAUUCACUGAGUAUUUUCCACUGAGUGCUUUGUUUACUGCUCAAAAAUCUUAAAAUAUUACUUCAAAGGAAAACUUUCAUCAAAAGAACCUCAGCGAAACCUCAAAACAAGCAAACACUCUAUUCAUCUGUUUAAUGCAUUAGCAAAGGCAGUGGUAUUAUCCCAGCUUAUAAGCUAACUAGACUCAUCACUUUGGUCCUUUCAUGUAUGCUUUUCCCAUGGUCAGAAUCCUGGAAAUUACUAAUAAACACUGGCAAGAAGAGAGGUUAAACACAGGCAUGCCAUUUCAUUUUAGCUGACAAAACAUUUAUUGAAAUGUUAUCUGUAUGAAACACUAAAUAGUCUGAAUCGAGAUCCCUGAAGAAAGUAACCCAUUUGGGUUCAACCUUCAACAUUUGGGUUCAACAUUCUUCUUCUAGGUUAAUUUAAACCAACAUGUCAAUGUUUUAUAUGCUCUGCAUGUAGUAUCCCUGAAGGUUGUGUUUUUCCUUUUGAGCUUUGCACAUGCUGAUCGCUCUUCAUAAACAGGGCCAUUCAAUACACUUAGGAAAAAAUGUUUGGUGUUAGUAGUGGGAAAAAGCAAUCAUUAAGGACUGUAGUAUAGAAUUGCUGUUGGUAAAAAGAGUACCAAGUGAGCAGAAUGCUCUGUAUUUUUAAAAUGGGAGCGAGUAACUGCUCUUAUUUCUAGAAGACUAUGCAUUUAUGCCACACCUGACAUGGGAAAGGAAUGCUUGAUGAGUAGCCAAUGAUGUUGAACUUGCUGUAUUUUCCAACUGACUUGUUUUUCUUAUGAAGGCAGCAUUUGAGUGAAAUUGUGUUUGUUUUUCUUUCUGAUAGGUUCUAAUUGAAGUUUGAGGGUUCAUUACACAAUGCCUGGGAAUAUGUUGUCAAAUACAAUUCACCUCUCCCACAGUGAAUGUUGGCAUAAUUUUAUAGGACGGGGACUGCAGAGUACAAAGCUCCCAUCAUAUUUGGCUCCAAUUUCAUUCAUCAUAGACAGAAUUUCUACAAAGUUUAGAAACUCUACUUUCAAAUGUCAGUGCCCUGAAACAAAUAUUAAAAGAAUAGGUUUGAAUCUGAGUAGAUGAACAUUGGCAUUCAAACAAUACUUUGUAGGUGAAAUCUUACGUCUCCUUCAAUUAUGUUGAAAAAUACAACCUUCAGUGUUUCAUAGAUGUUUCACCUGAAAUUGAAAAAACAUGCUACUUCAUCAAAGUCAUCUUCAUUUAAGUUUAAUAAGAAAAAUGAAAAUCAAAGAAUGUUUGCUCUUAUUACACACACACUGCUCAUGUACAGGGACAUUUCUGAUUUUAUUUGGGAAAUUGAAUAUAUGUCGGGUAGGCUUGGGUUGCUCUGUAAAGGAGUCUGCUUUACUGUGAGCACUCUUUUUAUUAACAUUUUAUAAACUGGCUUGGUAGUUUCCAGUUCUGUGGCAAGAACAAUCUAUCAUAAUAAACCUGUAACAUAAAUGUACAGGAUACAUUCUUGUUUCAAGAGUCUGUAAGAGGAGGCCCCUCAUGAACAAUUUAUAUGAGAAGGUCAUAAAAUGAAGUUCACCGAUAGCACAAGCAACUGCAGUGAAUAGUAUGUUGUCAAGAUCCUUUAUAUCAUGAAGAAAAUAUACUUUCAAAAAUUUCUUACUCUUAAUCCAAGUAUAUAUAUUUUUUGUAAAUAACAAUUGGAAGAAAGAGUUUAUAUUUUUUUAGAAGUGCCAGGCUGACCAUAUAUUAGGAGACUAAAUAAAGCAGGGAAAUGAUACCUGUUCUGAGUGAAAUAUUUUGCUCUGUUAGACAACUGGGUGUAAGGAUGGCUGUGCCAGUAUUAUUUUAUUUUUCUCUUGUGCCAGUUUGAUAAAACUCUUUAAAUAUUAGUUUGUGUUUUGAAAAAUACAAACUCUGUUAUGUUAUAUUUAGAGGAAAAUUAGCCUGAUGAUAUAAUCGGAUUUACUUAUGCGGUUAUCAACCAAACUAUUUAAUUAUUUGAAAUAGAUAACACUGUGAAGGAAAAUUGGGAUUUUUCAAUUUUUAUUUUACUCCUAUCUUGUUUCUUAUUUACUUGAAUCUUUCAUUCUUCUUUCGGCUCAGAGGGACUUAGGUCACUAAAGGAAAUGAGAAGCAAUUUUGAGUACAUAGGUUUCUGAGUGUUUGCAAAACAAAUAAACAAUAGCAAUGGUAUAAUCAUUUAUGGUAUUUAAAAUUGUGUUUAAACAGUUUAAAAAUAUUUCCUCAGUUACAUUUGUUUUAUAAUCUUAAAUAUGAAUCUUUGUCUCCCAAUAUUAUUCUCCCUCUGUAAAGCAAUAUUUGAAUAUAUUUAAAUUCACCUUUUAUUCUAGUUUUCCCUUAAGUGUACAGGCAAUACAUUAAAAUAAUGUGCAAAGGCCUAUACUUCCAGGCCCAUAGUUCUUCAUUUCUGUUGAAUUAUAGCUUGCUCUUUGGAAGAUUAGAUAUAUAAGCCAGGCUGACUGUUCUAAAACAUUUCUUAAGAUAAUAUUAAUUGUCAAUAAGAACGAUUGAAAUCCAUAGAUAAACUUAUAAGGAAUAGAACAUUUAUUUGAAUAACCUUGUAUGAUAUUUAAAUAGUAAUAGAUCAGAACCAGUUUUUUUAAAUCAAAAAAAAUAUUUUUAAUUAUUAAGACUUCACAUUGGGUUCAACCUGGUAUCUGAAAUGCAGUUUUUUUUUUUUCUUUUUGCUAAAUAAUGGUCUAUGGUCUAAGAAACUGAUCAUGAAUUUUAAAACAUGGCUGUCUUUAUAUUAGUGUGGUUGACCCUUGAACAACAUGGGCUUGAACUGCAUGGAUUCACUAUCAUGUGGAUUUUUUUUUUUUUUUUCCAAUGAAUACAAUGUCUGUAUGUUUGUUUUCAGGGUCUUUAAGGGUAAAAUUUGUGUUGGAUUAGAGAUCACAAUACAUGGAAUCAACAGAACUAGGGUUUGAGUCCUAAUUCUGUUCUUAAGCUUCCGGCCCUGGGGAGUCAUUUAUCAAUUCCUUUGUUUUUGAGGCAGAGACGGCAGUAGGUGGAUUUUUGACUGUGCAGGGAUCAGCGCCUCUAUGCUUCUAACCCUCAUGUUAUCCAAGGAUCAGUUGUAUAAAUUUAGAUGUUAGACACUUGUUUAAGAGCAACUGAAUAUCUGAGUUAAAUUAUUUUUAGGAAAUACAAGGCUUCUCUGUAAUGUUGUCUUCUGUGGACAACAUCUAGAAGUCUUUUCUGUUAUUCCUGAUUAACACACAGGCCUUUCAACUCAAAUAAACUAAAACAAUACAUAAGAACAAAGACUGAAAAGAAAAUAAAACUAAUUUGAACUCAAGGGGUUUUUCUCAGGCAAGGCCUCAGAGAAUGUGCCAGUUCUUGUUAAGAAAGGCAUUGUAUUUAAAGGCCACAUUUAGCUGAAUAGAUUGAAAAAUCCUUAUUAUUUUGAUUAAUGAUUCAAUUGUUGUCUCAAUGCUAAAUAUUCAUAAAAAGUACCUUUUCAUUCACAUUUCAAAAUGAGGUAAAUUAAGGAAAAAGUAGGUCAGUGUGCUGAGAAAUGAGCUUUUCUUUAUCAAAUGGUUAAUUCCAUACUUUCAAAAGAGCAAAGAUCAGCUCAGCAAAUAAGGUGCUGAGGAUAAUGAAAGUACUGUACACAGGAAAACUAUCCUUUUGUUUUGAAUCUAGAGUUGAUUAAUUAAAUUUCCUUGUAGAAGUAUUGCAUAAAACACAUUUCAAGGGCAAAAUCCUUCUUCAUUGCACAACUAGUUGAAGGUCCAGAUUUCAACGACUAACUUAAGGGUAGGUGGGAAAAUGUGCUCACAAAUUUUAUGCAGAUUGUUAAAAACAAACUUACUUACAUAAGACUAUUGGGAAUACAGACCUGGGAGGUGUCCAGGAGUGACCAAUCUCAAUGCCUUCUUGCUGCUACAGAGCUUUCCGGGCUAGGAUCUUUUACACUGAGACAGAAAGCAUCAUCAGGAAGCUUUUGUUACCAUCUGUGUGCCAUAGGGUUUGUCUGACUGACUGCUGAUGAACACAUAGAUUGAAUCUCUCUACUCUGCCUCAAAACAUACCAAAUCAGACAUUAAUAAAAAAAAGAAAUAUUAAUGAAAUCAAUUUUAAAAGGAAAAGAAACAAAUAUCUUUAAAGGUACCAAAGAAUAACACAAAGAACAGUCAAUAUUGAUUUUUAUUAAAUAUUAAUUGGGCAAUAUAUCCAUGUGGGCACUGUUAGAUUGACCUCAUGUGCUUUGCAUGAAUAUCCACCUAUUAGAUGUCAAGCUUGGAGACACACUCCUGACCACUCUUCAUUACAUGUGAUGCUUAUCUGAUGUUGUAUUGAGGAGGCCACCAGAAUCUGUAGUGAGCAAUACCUGAUGAGUAUAUUUUCUAGACAUUUAAAAACUAUCCCUGCACAAGAGAGUAGAAGAACCCUCUGCCCAUCAGGAGUUCAAGGUUUGCAUGAGUUUCCAGGAAGAAGACCCUAUUCUCUACAUAGGAAAGCAAAGAUUUUAUAGCUCAGUGGAUGAUGCACAUUUGAGUCUGAACUUUGUGUCUUUGGUUUUUGUGAUGUUUUCAUUUUUGAAUGGAUGGGGACCAGGGGAAAAGCCAAAGAGCAAGGGCAGAGGUAAAUCAACAAAAUACUUUUAUAUAAUGAUAAAGAGUGAGAAGAAAAUGAAAUAGGUGUUGUGAUAGUUCAUGGUGUAGGAGUCACCUUGGGGAGUGAGGAAAGGCUUUGUUAAAGGAAGCAGUGUGUUAGCUGAAGCUCAGUUGAAGGAGUUAUAGCUCUGAAAGGUCUCAGAUGCAGGUGGUUCUAGGUGGACAGAGAAUUCAGAGAUCCUCAGAUGUGAAUGAAUGUCUCAUGUGGGAUGAACUCCUUAUGUUUAAAGAACAUAAAUAAAUCCGUAAAGGCCACAAUACUGUGAGUGAGAGGAAGGGUAGGAGGUAAAAUCAGAAGGCAUGAGGGCCUAGAUUGAUCUUGGUGAGUCUUUUAAAUGAUGGGACUUAGUUUGAGUCUUAUUAUAAGAGUAUGGGAAACCAGUUGAUGUUUUUGAAAUUGUGCUUGUUUAGUACUCUUUUACUCUGCCUACUUUCUGGAAAACAGAUUGUAAGGAGAUAAGAGUUGGAAGCAAGCAAUACUUCUAGUCAAAGAUUCCACAGGAGACUUUACCAAGUUCUAUAAUUCCCAGACUCUGAAGGAGACCACUAGGGCUUCUUUCUCAGUUGCUGUCAUGUUAGAGGCCAGGACUGCUGAGCAGAUGACUUUUGGGACCAAUUACAACUGUUAGUUCUGACUCACACCUAAGCCACUGGAAUAGGGUUAAUGCAACUACAGGGAAGAUGACAGAGGGAAGCUUUUUUUUUUUUUUUAACUUUAGUCUCCAAAGAUGCAGUAGCACUUAAAUAAUUACAUUUGUGCAGUUUUGAAAUCUUAGCUUAUCACCAAUACUCCAGUUUCUAAAGGCAGUUCACAUGAAUUCCCAGUUCUUUGAACAUGUAUUUUAGUUAUUAUAUAACAACUUCUUGUGUAGUUUUCAAUACUUGGGUUAAUAUUUUUAUUUUAAAGCAAAUUCAUAUUCUACAUACAGAAGCCAUAAUAACAAUGUUAACUCUUUAUAUAGAACAAGGAAAAUUAAAAAUGCUGUGUAAGUGGAAGGCAUCAUAUUGGUAUUUUCACACAGGCUCAGAUCUAAGGCUGGGUAAAGAUCAGCAUCAAAUAAAAUUAUAGCUGAUGUUUCAGUUAUUCUGAGUUAUAAGCUUCAAAUCACUAUUAUCAUUAUACUUGCUAAUUACCAAGUUUAAUUCUUAUAAAAAUUGAAGUACUCUAACCUCAUGCCAUAUUUUAGCCUCAUUGUUUUGUUUAAUAAUAAAUUCUUUAAAGAAUGCAAACUAGGAGUUCCUGUUGUGGUGCAACGGAAAUGAAUUCAACUAGGAACCAUGAGGUUAGGGGUUUAGUCUGUGGCCUUACUCAGUGGGUUAAGGAUCUGGCUUUGCCGUGAGCUGUGGUGUAGGUCACAGACAUGGCUCGGCUCUAAUGUUACUGUGAUGUAGGCCAGCAGGUGUAGCUC
This 7592-nucleotide long non-coding RNA is filed under the name Sus scrofa (pig). RNAcentral's name for it is "lncRNA (ENSSSCG00015013811.1)". The record is from RNAcentral. Lineage: Eukaryota; Metazoa; Chordata; Mammalia; Artiodactyla; Suidae.